RNAcentral lists this ribosomal RNA (445 nucleotides) under uncultured bacterium. Its description in RNAcentral is "bacterial SSU rRNA". It matches the Rfam family "Bacterial small subunit ribosomal RNA", at positions 217 to 662 of the family's 1533-position model. The record is from RNAcentral.
GGUAUGGGAUGAGCUUGCGUCCGAUUAGCUAGUUGGCGGGGCAACGGCCCACCAAGGCGACGAUCGGUAGCCGGCCUGAGAGGGCGAUCGGCCACAUUGGGACUGAGAUACGGCCCAGACUCCUACGGGAGGCAGCAGUAGGGAAUAUUGCACAAUGGGGGAAACCCUGAUGCAGCAACGCCACGUGUGGGAAGAAGCAUUUCGGUGUGUAAACCACUGUCGUGAGGGAAUAAGGCAUUGUUUCGGCGAUGUUGAAUGUACCUCGAAAGGAAGCACCGGCAAACUUCGUGCCAGCAGCCGCGGUAAUACGAGGGGUGCAAGCGUUGUUCGGAAUCACUGGGCGUAAAGGGAGCGUAGGCGGAGAUGCAAGCAGCCUGUACAAUACCGGGGCCCAACCCCGGACCUGCAGACUGGACUGUGUCUCUUGGAUAGUUCAGGGGCAGGC